Molecule: ribosomal RNA, 482 nt
Filed under: uncultured bacterium
Lineage: Bacteria
Description: partial 16S ribosomal RNA
Rfam family: Bacterial small subunit ribosomal RNA
Source: RNAcentral
GACGAACGCUGGCGGCGUGCUUAACACAUGCAAGUCGAACGCUGAAGCUCAGCUUGCUGGGUGGAUGAGUGGCGAACGGGUGAGUAACACGUGAGUAACCUGCCCUCUUCUUUGGGAUAACGCCCGGAAACGGGUGCUAAUACUGGAUAUUCACUGAUUCUCGCAUGGGGGUUGGUGGAAAGGUUUUUUCUGGUGGGGGAUGGGCUCGCGGCCUAUCAGCUUGUUGGUGGGGUGAUGGCCUACCAAGGCUUUGACGGGUAGCCGGCCUGAGAGGGUGACCGGUCACAUUGGGACUGAGAUACGGCCCAGACUCCGACGGGAGGCAGCAGUGGGGAAUAUUGCACAAUGGGCGAAAGCCUGAUGCAGCGACGCCGCGUGAGGGAUGGAGGCCUUCGGGUUGUAAACCUCUUUCGCUCAUGGUCAAGCCGCAGCUUUGGGUUGUGGUGAGGGUAGUGGGUAAAGAAGCGCCGGCUAACUACGUG